Molecule: ribosomal RNA, 253 nt
Filed under: uncultured bacterium
Lineage: Bacteria
Description: partial 16S ribosomal RNA
Rfam family: Bacterial small subunit ribosomal RNA
Source: RNAcentral
UACGUAGGGAGCAAGCGUUGUCCGGAAUCAUUGGGCGUAAAGCGCGCGUAGGUGGCCCUGUAAGUCCGUUGUGAAAGUCAAAGGCUCAACCUUUGAAAGCCGAUGGAUACUGCAGGGCUAGAGUACGGAAGAGGCGAGUGGAAUUCCUGGUGUAGCGGUGGAAUGCGCAGAUAUCAGGAGGAACACCAGUGGCGAAGGCGGCUCACUGGCCCGGUACUGACGCUGAGGCACGAAAGCGUGGGGAGCAAACAGG